Molecule: long non-coding RNA, 6246 nt
Organism: Gasterosteus aculeatus aculeatus (three-spined stickleback)
Lineage: Eukaryota; Metazoa; Chordata; Actinopteri; Perciformes; Gasterosteidae
Source: Ensembl
CGAUCUGUAAAGCAGUAUCAGUAUCUAUCUCAAGUAAGAUGUAUAAAUUAGACUUACUCACCCAUACAACCAAGGGCACCCAGCAACAACAAGACUAUCAUCAUUUCCCGUGAUUGUAAACGUGAGUCCAGUGUAAACUGGGACCAGUUCACAGUUCAACAUGUAGGUGACGGCAAACUCUUUAGUGUGUUCACACUAUUCAGACAGAAGUAGUACAGCGCACUAUAACGUUAUUAAUACGGUAACAACACAAUGCCGCACGAAGCUCCGUAUUCAGAAUGCAGAAAACGGAGAAGGGCGUGUCCGUGCGUGGUGCGUUCACGUGUCAUCGGAGAUGGGUACCGCUCGUGUAUUUAUGCCUUGCGUUUGAGCCCCAAAAUCAAGAUUGCAUUACGUUCGAGAGCCUAAGGGGUCAGGCCGAGUGGAACUGAAUGUGACCCGAGUGGGGAAAGCUGAAUUCCAGUGUGUGUGCGCGGCGUUUAGCGGGGAGGUUUUCAACGGAACCGCCCUUCCUGAUUCUGGACGAGUCGAACAAACCCCUCAAGCGCGCAGCGUCACCGGGUUACGUCGGACCGGACCCAGGACCCAAGGUGCCUUAUCUCCUCUAGUUUGGUUAAUUUGGUCUGGAACAAAGGGGAAAGAAACACAUUGUUGCCAUUGUGUUAUUUAGCCUUUUAACAGCAACAUCAAGAUUGAUGAAUUGCAUCUGAAGGUUAAAUCCAACAAUAAUGUAACUGUGAGAGAAUUUGCAUUAUUUUCAUUUUUUCUCUAAAUAGAAAUUGUUUUAUGAUUAUAUCGUGGUGUACAUACAUAACAGCCCUUUUAAAUGUUGCUAUUCUUAAAAUUGUAGUUGUCGUGGGGCACAGAUUCUAUAAUUGUGGGUUAGGGUCAAUUUCAUUGCAUACAUCUGAUGGGGAUUAUAUUAAGUCCAGUAAGGCAGUUUAUUUAGCUUUCAAAAUACCUCAUUUAAAACACAAGUCAAAGUAUACUUACAUAUUUUACACAUAAUACAGACACAUAUUUAUACAAAAUAUGUAGACCACAUCUGUUAUGGUUAAUGAAUCAAGGCAUAUUCUCAAAAAAUACAGAGGGUAACAGUUUUCUAAGACAUAGUAGUAAAAGUAAAAACCUAAAAUAUCGUUAGUUAUAAUUAUAUAACAAAGGCCACACAGACACGUUGAUAUAUUUGGCUGAAUUGGCACGUAUGGGUUAGAAACAACCAAAAACGUUAAGUACAGCUGGUAACAGGGGAUUUAACUGGUGAUUGAUUGGUGUUGAUCAGGUUUAUGUCCUCACUGUAUAAAAUCUGCUACACAGACUUUCAGUCAUGACUCCAACAUUCCCCUUGAUAUACUUGCAGCAGGAGAAGGUGUACCUAUACAUUGCUUAUAUAACCUGAGUUUAAAAUACAAAUUCAUCCUUUCAUUUUACUACGGAUAUUACGAUCAUUUCCGUCCACUCAACAAAACCUAUAGUAUGGAGCUACAGUUAAGUUAACAUUUUUCUUAAAUUGUUAGACGUCUUUGUAUAACUCUUGACUGCUUAGUUAUCAAGAGUAUACCGGUUUGAUCACGUUGCAUUUGGAUUUAUAUAGCAAGAAAGAGAACAUCACACGCGUGAACCAACUGGUCCUGUGUCAACAUAGUGAGAAUUAUGUCUAGUUUUUCAACACGGUCCUCAUCCUGUGCACCGAUCGCCACGACUUUGCAGGAAUUUAUUGUUAAAUGUGCGUUUUGUCACACAGACCUAUCGAGGGCCCCUCCUCACAAAGUACAAUAAUGGCUUCAACAGUGCGUCGCCUGAGUUUUUGGAGUGUUUUUUACAGAAAGUUGAGUUUAUCUGAAGUAUAAACAUCCGAGAAAGCUGAGCUUGAACUGAGGGGGGGUGCAUACUGCGGCCCUUUCAGCUGAAACGUUGGCUCGGUGUCCGAGGAGAGAAAAUUAGUGGCGAGUGAAGGAGCUGCAUUGACUCCCUCCCCUCCUGGAGGAGCAACCUAAGGGAGGUGAAAAAACAACAACUAUGAAACACGUUUUACAUCCUGAUCAUACUGGGAAUUUGUUACAUAAAAGGCAGUGACUUUAUAAAAGGUAACAACUUUAUUUGUCCAAGUCACACUUCAAAUAAAUGUUGAAUUUUGUCCAAUGUUGUCUAGUUAUAAGCACAACUUAAAUAGAUAUAUGAACUUUCAGUAUGGAAAGGAAAAACGAUUAAAGCGAGAAAAUACAUGGCCAUUUGAGUAUUGUUUUAACCCAGACUUGGGCCAAAUCAGUGGAUCACACUACAAUGACUAACUGGCUGUAGGUUUGAGAACACUUACCAACGGCUCGAGAGAGAUAGUUGUAUGUUCCCUGGAAACUAGGGAACUCAUUGAGUAAGGAGUACUGGGAUCUCUAGCCGGUGCAGCAUAGUAACUCGGGCACCCGGGUUGAUUUGUGUCCUGCGAUUGGAAGGAUAUUGAAGUAAAAAGAGCAAUACGAUAUAAAUGAUAACAAACGGUUGGUCUAAUCUGAGGAAGUACUCACGUGGAGACACACAGCAGGUGGGGCUGCAGCCUGAGGAGCAAACUCGGCCCUCUUUUUACAACAGCACUUCCUCACACAGCAACAGCAGAAAAUCAGAGCAAAGAGAAUCCCAACAAUUAGUCCAACCAAAGAAAGAGUUGAAAAGGGGUCUGUAAGAGCAGAAGAAUGGGGCGGGGGUUACGUUCCUAUGAAUCAUCAGUUCAUUCCUGCAUUUAAGGAAAACAAUGUGCCGUUGCUCACCCGGGUCGACCACCAGCUCUGCGGUCUGGAACAGGUGGCCUCGUCGGUCUCUGAAGGCGAAGGUGCCCGAGUCUGUGAUUUGCACGGGGUAAAUCUGUACGCCCCCGCCAACGGACCGCAGCCUCCCUGCAAAACCUACUGAGUACGAGUCCAACUCCUCUUCUCUGACCAGACGGCCACCGCUCAUCAAUGUUUGGUUUUCCUUUUCCCCCACAGGUGUAAAAGCCGCCGUCCACAGGCGAUUGGCCAUAGGAUUUUCAAUCAAGACCUCGUCGUGAACCUUUGUAUUGUAGUAUCUCCGCAACUCUGUGUGUGAUAAAACGCAACAUUUCAUAUACACUGCACUCUAAAAGCUUGACGCAGAUUCGAUUUCCUAACAUCACCUUUGACUAUUAGCUUGAUCCUAAUGAGCAAAUUGUUGUCUUUUCCUCUGAAGAUGUAGUAGCCCAUGUCUGCCUGAUUGAGAUUCCCAAUCUCGUAGAAAUUACGGUUAAUCUGCCCUCUGCCCCCGUUGAUGGCUUGAGGGUCAGAGCGAUUCCACAAAACCUUCAGCUGGUCCACACCGUGAAGGGGAGUGAACUCCAGGAACUCUGCCUCUCUCGGAACCUUUGUUGAGUAACGGCCCCCGUAAUCCCGCAUGACCUCGUCGACACAUGCUGAAGAGGCAUAAACAAACACGGUGUUCGGUGUCCAGCCCACCGGGAGGAUCCCACGUAGUAACCGGGCACUCUCUUGCGCCAAUGGCGGACUUACACCCAGGAUCCGACCAACGUAACGGAGGCAUGUGACGCAUCUUGCGUAGGAGCUGCACAGAAUACAGGGCACCAUUUCCUUAAAUAAACCAAGCGAACCCACUGCACAUGCGCGCUCUGCAGAGGACGUUGUUAUCUCCUCGUCCCAUAAUCGCUCGCAGGUACCCAGCGGUGGAUGUACUGUAUUCUCCACGCAUCCAGGUGAAGAUGUCCUACAGUGCCAUGCUCGCCUUCCUUUCGGCCCUUCCUAUCUCUCUGGCAUGGGAUGCAUCAAGUAUAAGAGAAGAAGCCCAGAUUGUGUGUGCUGGGAGGGAAUUCCGUCUGCCGGUUUACUCCUCAUCCAGAAUGGUGACUUUUACACCAAACCCCGAGGGGCCACGCCGCGUCCUGCUGGACAAAACCAUUGUGAAGGACCCGCGGUUUGAGUGGACCAGAGACAGGAUGCUGGUUCUGAGAGAAGUGACUCACGAUGAUGAGGGGCUUUACGCCAUCAAACUGGUCUCUGGAUUCACCUACGAGGCCGUUCGUUUGAUUGUUUCAGAAUGCAUCAAGUCCUACCACGGAAAAUACGGCGAUAAGUUUGAGCACAGCAUCCCCGAAAACGGCUCCCUGCUGGAGUUCUCUCCCCGGGGCGCUCCGCCGGAGGCCAUGCCGGUCCUUCUGUGGAACCGGACCGACCCCGUGACCAGCGAUGCCGGCCGUGGCCGGCUGCGCGCGGGGAAAGUGUGGGUGGCUGAGAGGGUGACGCAAGCGGACCAGGGCAACUACACUGUGAGGGACAGCAAGGGGAGGGUCCUGCACCGCAGCUCCCUCAGCGUCCGCGGUGAGCAAAGGCGGAAGAUGACAGGAUGACCUUUAGGAAUUACCUCAACUUAAGGGUCCCGUCAUCUAUAACAUUUAUAUUUUAUCUUUCCCCCUCCACCUAACACCCUGCCAUGUCGUCGCAUUUCCUUCCUUCUCCACCCCUGUCUUUUGUGUUCAUGGUCCUGGGUGCAGAGCACUCCUUCAAUGUCACCCGCUUUACCAAGGAGUCUCUAAACCUGCCCCUCUUUCUUCCUGUCCCGCAUGUCCACCUCAUUUUUACCCCUACCCGAUUCCUUGACGAAUCCUCCCCGGGCCAUUUUGACCCCAAACCCCCCCGUGGUCCAGUGCAGCUGAUCCGUGAGGGCCACAUACUGGACCACGACAUGCGCUACAGGGGCCUCAUCUCGCUGGUCAGGAAUGGCAGCAUCAACGAGGUCGCCAUAGUGAGGCUGAAUUCAAGGCACGAUGGGUUUUAUGAAAUCAGGGACGUGGUCGGCAACCUGGUAUCCUCCACCUGGCUGCAGGUGAUUGAAAAGGGAGGCAGAUGGCGAGCGCUUCUCAGAUCCAUCACCGUCCCUUCUGGCUUGUUCGUGUCGCUGGUCGGUUUCAUCCUGUUCAUGAGGCGAUAUCCAAACUGCAGCCUGUCGCAGCUCGUCGCUGUCCUCAGAAUAAACCGCACGCCUCCAGCCAACCCUCCGAGGGUCAACAUCCAGGAUUACAGCCAGCCCAGCCCUCGGCCCUCCGGCUACCACGCGCACGCUGACCCGCCUGUAACGCCAAGAAAAUGCACCCCCAGCGCCAGUCCUACUCACGCCGGUUACUGUCCAGUUAUGGCAGGAACCGCCGAGAAUCAGGAAGCAAACACGUCGGCAGCAACGAGCUCCCCUCGUCCUCGUCGUCAUUCAACCUCGGAGCCGGACUCAUCUCACUACAAUGAGGAAGAGAGAAGGAUUUCCUUUUUGAUGCCCGGGGCUUCGGACUGUCUCCACUCCUCUGAAGACUGUGUUAAAUUCCAGAUAAAAAAAGAUGGGGAUAAUGGCAGGAGGAGCACGUCACGAGGUUACUUUUCCACUCUGCCACUAGACAGGGACACCUCUGAAUCCUGCAGUGUUUACACUUCAGAAAAACUCAACUUCUUAUAAAACACAGAACUGGAGCUGAAGGAAGAACAACAAGAAGAAAGAAGAAGAACAACAAGAUAUGGAGCAACUACAGUAUUGGAUUAUGAAAAUAAAUAACCCACCUGUGCCUUUAUGCAUAUUAGCCUAAUUUGAAUGGUAUGAUAAUUGCAUGCCCUUUUUUCAUGUUUGAGCAUUAGCUGAUCUGUCUCCUAUUUCACAUUUCUUGACGCUGAGGAUGGUGCUCCUGAAAUAUCCUGCUGUUACCUACCUCCAGACCCUCAGGACCAGUAUGAUCUGCACUGUAUUUGCUGAGUGUUGGUACGAGUGUGCUUGUGAUGUGAUGUCUAGGGCUACAUAGAAAUAAGAGUUGCGAUUAUUCAAAGGUUUACAAAAGGGAAUUCUAAAGUACUGUACAGUGAUAGAGAGAUUGUUUAUGUCUUUUUCCAUCCACCAUUUCCAAAUGCAACAACAAUUAAUAUCAUGUUCAAUGUCUGCUCAGCGGUUCAGUGGUUUUUCUGUGAUAGUGUAUUAACCCUCAAGGUAAUUGUAGUAAUAGCUUUGUGAAUUGUAACAUGAUCUACCACAUAUUCCAAUAGCCUGUUGUUCUAUAAACUCUGUGUAUGGGAUAAUAUCAUCACCAAAGCUUUCUAUUGACAAGAGAUUAGAGACUUUGGCUUGUGACAUUUUUGAACAUUCAAAACGUUACCUCUUAGACAAUAAAUUCAUGUUUAACACACACUUUUGAUUAUUUUCUGCUUUAAUGUACAGUAAGCUCGUUCGUAAGACAAUUGUUUCUUAUUUUGCUAU